RNAcentral lists this ribosomal RNA (572 nucleotides) under Thanatephorus cucumeris. RNAcentral describes it as "eukaryotic LSU rRNA". It matches the Rfam family "Eukaryotic large subunit ribosomal RNA", at positions 1 to 574 of the family's 3401-position model. The record is from RNAcentral. Lineage: Eukaryota; Fungi; Basidiomycota; Agaricomycetes; Cantharellales; Ceratobasidiaceae.
UGAUCUCAAAUCAGGUAGGACUACCCGCUGAACUUAAGCAUAUCAAUAAGCGGAGGAAAAGAAACUAACAAGGAUUCCCCUAGUAACGGCGAGUGAAGCGGGAAGAGCUCAAAUUUAAAAUCUGGCAGUGUAUUCUGUCCGAGUUGUAGUCUAGAGAAGCAUCAUCCGUGCUGGACCAUGUACAAGUCUCUUGGAACAGAGCGUCAUAGAGGGUGAGAAUCCCGUCCUUGACAUGGACUCCCAGUACUUUGUGUUGUGCUCUCAACGAGUCGAGUUGUUUGGGAAUGCAGCUCAAAAUGGGUGGUAAAUUCCAUCUAAAGCUAAAUAUUGGCGAGAGACCGAUAGCGAACAAGUACCGUGAGGGAAAGAUGAAAAGCACUUUGGAGAGAGAGUUAAACAGUACGUGAAAUUGUUGAAAUGGAAACGCUUGAAGUCAGUCGCGUUCUCUGGGACUCAGCCUUGCUUUUGCUUGGUGUAUUUCCUAGUCUACGGGCCAGCAUGAGUUUUGACCAAUGGAAAAAGGCUUGGGGAAUGUGGCACCCUCGGGUGUGUUAUAGCCCCUUGUCACCAUA